GGGGGACAGUAGGGAAUCUUCCACAAUGGACGCAAGUCUGAUGGAGCAACGCCGCGUGAGUGAAGAAGGUUUUCGGAUCGUAAAGCUCUGUUGUUGGUGAAGAAGGACAUGGAUAGUAACUGAUCUAUGUUUGACGGUAAUCAACCAGAAAGUCACGGCUAACUACGUGCCAGCAGCCGCGGUAAUACGUAGGUGGCAAGCGUUGUCCGGAUUUAUUGGGCGUAAAGCGAACGCAGGCGGGAGAACAAGUCAGCUGUGAAAGCCCUCGGCUUAACCGAGGAACGGCAACUGAAACUGUUUUUCUUGAGUGCAGAAGAGGAGAGUGGAACUCCAUGUGUAGCGGUGAAAUGCGUAGAUAUAUGGAAGAACACCAGUGGCGAAGGCGGCUCUCUGGUCUGUAACUGACGCUGAGGUUCGAAAGCAUGGGUAGCGAACAGGAUUAGAUACCCUGGUAGUCCAUGCCGUAAACGAUGAGUGCUAAGUGUUGGGAGGUUUCCGCCUCUCAGUGCUGCAGCUAACGCAUUAAGCACUCCGCCUGGG
Molecule: ribosomal RNA, 540 nt
Filed under: Lactobacillus apis
Lineage: Bacteria; Bacillati; Bacillota; Bacilli; Lactobacillales; Lactobacillaceae
Description: bacterial SSU rRNA
Rfam family: Bacterial small subunit ribosomal RNA
Source: RNAcentral